GGUAAGAUGGCUGAGUUUAGGCGCUAGAUUGUAAAUCUAGAUACGAGUUUUCUCUCUCUUACCA
Molecule: transfer RNA, 64 nt
Filed under: Trogoderma granarium
Lineage: Eukaryota; Metazoa; Arthropoda; Insecta; Coleoptera; Dermestidae
Description: tRNA-Tyr
Rfam family: tRNA
About the family: Transfer RNA (tRNA) molecules are approximately 80 nucleotides in length.
Source: RNAcentral